AUCGGAUUAGCGUAUGCAGAGAAACGUUGCAUACAUACUUAUGUCUUUUAAGAAAUAAAUAUUAAGAAGUAAAUAGAAAAAGUUAAGAAAUUAUGGAAAUGAAUGAGGAAGGAAUGUUUGAACAGAGUCAAUUUGCACCCUCCAAAAAGUUUCCAUCUGACAAAAAGAAAUCUCUGCUAAACUUUUGCUCGAUCGGAUAACGAAAAAAUCCGUGCCCCCGGAUCGUUAAAAAUUGAAGUAUCUUUAUAUUAAGCUGUUUGCGUUAUCAAUAUGGUGUUUUCCACAAAAAUCUCCUUAGAAAACUUUUCUGUU
Molecule: long non-coding RNA, 312 nt
Organism: Odontomachus brunneus
Lineage: Eukaryota; Metazoa; Arthropoda; Insecta; Hymenoptera; Formicidae
Exons: 3
Source: RefSeq, a predicted model, not a curated record